This 519-nucleotide ribosomal RNA is filed under the name uncultured eukaryote. RNAcentral describes it as "SSU rRNA". It matches the Rfam family "Eukaryotic small subunit ribosomal RNA", at positions 1161 to 1699 of the family's 1831-position model. The record is from RNAcentral.
AGGGCACCACCAGGAGUGGAGCCUGCGGCUUAAUUUGACUCAACACGGGAAAACUCACCCGGCCCGGACACUGGAAGGAUUGACAGAUUGAGAGCUCUUUCUUGAUUCAGUGGGUGGUGGUGCAUGGCCGUUCUUAGUUGGUGGAGCGAUUUGUCUGGUUAAUUCCGAUAACGAACGAGACUCUAGCCUACUAAAUAGAUCGUUGGCUUACAAACGCCAAUCAGACUUCUUAGAGGGACAGGCGGCGAUUCAGCCGCACGAAACAGAGCAAUAACAGGUCUGUGAUGCCCUUAGAUGUCCGGGGCCGCACGCGCGCUACACUGAAGUGAUCAGCGUGCAUUCUCAGCCUACUCUGCCAAGAGUGGGAAACCCAAUGAACCUUCUUCGUGAUUGGGAUAGGAGAUUGUAAUUAUUCUCCUUGAACGAGGAAUUCCCAGUAAGCGCGAGUCAUAAGCUCGCGUUGAUUACGUCCCUGCCCUUUGUACACACCGCCCGUCGCUACUACCGAUUGAAUGUUUU